CUUUCGAAGAGAAGGAAAAGACAGAUUCAGGGGAGGAGCCGAAGGUCUUCCACAGUGGGGGAAGAUGAUUGACUGUUCUCGGGAGGAAGGGGAGAUGAGCCGAGGUGCUGAAGAGAACUGCACCCUUGGGGACGCGGGGACGCCUUGCCCUGUCCUGCCCCGUCCUGCUCCGGCCCGACCUCAUUUCGCUCCGUCUUAGAAUGAUUGUUAGGCAAGAAAGGGGCUUUGGAUGCCGAUCUCCUCUUCCAGUCUCUCACCAACUUUAUUUCUGAGACGCGGAGAACAUGAAGUGCUCACACAGGGCAGUUCAUAAAUCACGUUGACAACAAUUUUGUGGAUUAAGUGCUAUUGUCAGCUAUUGAAUCUGAGAACAUAAAAGCCUGAUGUGUUGAUUUGUUACCUGAGGUCCAAAGCCCAUUGGUCUGGGACUCUUCUUGCUGGGGAAGAUCAAUGCCUUCUGCCUGGGUAAGGAAUAGGACAAAGUUGGAGAGAGCCAGAGAAAAGAGAGGUUUGUUCCUCUUCCAGUAUGAGUCUUUGGACCUUUUUCAAAUGUAAUCUCUUUAGUCUCUUCAGUUUCUGAACAUUGGUUCUGGCUUUCAGAAAACAGAUGGAAGAUGACAAUCCCAUUUCAGGGUUGCUAAAGGAAAAGACUGGGAAGAAGUCAACUGUCUUCCUCAUGUUUCUGUCCCCAGCAUGCUAUACUAGGAACUUUGGAGAACUUCACCAAUAAGAGAACUCUUUCACUUUGUAUUGUAUGGUAUAUAUUCUCCUAUAUAUAUACUUUCUCUGAUUUCUGUUUUGCUAUGAUUUGGAUAAAUGGACUUAUUUGCUAUUUUGUAUCAUUGUGCAAUUGGUAUUUCAUGAGAAGGGAAUCAAGUCUGGAACAUCAAGUUUGGAGUCCUUCUUUCCCCAGAAUAAUGAAGUAGCAAUCAGAAAUUUGUUUGAACCCUAAAACUACCAUCUUGAGAUUAAUAAUAUUUAAGGGAAUAGAUGGAUAUAAUUCUAACCCAGCAACUAACUCACUUUGUCUGUCUCUAUCUGUCUCUGUCUCUCUGUCUCUCUGUCUCUCUCUGUCUCUCUCUGUCUCUGUCUCUCUCUCUCUCUCUCUCUCUCUCUCUCUUUCUUUCUUUCUUUCUCUCUCUCUCUCUCUGAAGUUUCUGGGCCCAAUAGCCUGAUAUCCUUCCUGGCUUGAAAUAAAGUCUCCUUUGAAGAAGGAUACAGAGGAGAAAAAUAUAGAGAUGUCCAUUCUAUUUCCCUUUAAGUCACAUAAUGAUACCCCUGUUCUACAUAUGAGACACAGCUCUCAAUAGAACACCAGGUUUUUAUAUUAAGAGGUCAGAGUUUAACAUCCCAGUUGGGAUGACUAAGUAAAAGGUGGACUUGGUGUAGGCAGGGAUUCUUAUAAGCUGGGGUCUAUGAAUUGGGACUGGAAAAAAAUAUUUUUAUUUUCACUGAUUUCUACCAGAAAUUUAGCACUUCCUUCAUUUAGUAAUGCAGAUAAACAUUAUUCAAAGAAGGUAUCACAAUAUUAUGGAAUAUUAUUGCUCGGUAAGAAAUGACAACAGGAUGAUUUCAGAAAGGCCUGGAGAGACUUACAUGAACUGAUGCUGAGUGAAACAAGCAGGGCCAGGAGAUCAUUAUAUACUUCAACAACAAUACUAUAUGAUGAUAAAUUCUGAUGGAUGUGGCCAUCUUCAGCAAUGAGAUGAACCAAAUCAGUUCCAAUGGACAGUAAUGAACUGAACCAGCUACACCCAGCGAAAGAACUCUGGGAGAUGACUAAAAACCAUUACAUUGAAUUCCCAAUCCCUAUAUUUUUGCCUGCCUGCAUUUUGGAUUUCCUUCACAGGCUAAUUGUACAAUAUUUCAGAGUCCGAUUUUUUUUUGUACAGCAAAAUAACGGUUUAGUCAUGUAUACUUAUUGUGUAUCUAAUUUAUACUUUAAUAUAUUUAACAUCUACUGGUCAUCCUGCCAUCUAGGGGAGGGGGUUGGGGAAAGAGGGGAAAAAUUGAAACAAAAGGUUUGGCAAUUGUCAAUGCUGUAAAAUUACCCAUACAUAUAACUUGUAAAUUAAAAGCUAUUUAAAAAAAAAGAAGGUAUCACAAGACUUUCCCAGGUGACCAAAGAGAAUAUAAUAUAUAGAAAAAGUUAAAAAAAAAAAUUGGGCAGUGGGAAGACCUACAGAGUGGGCAGACAGGAAUUUUGUAUCUUCCUGAUAGCUCUGCCACUAUCUUAUCAUUUUGAACAAGGUUCUUUAUCUUUGAGUUCUUUUUUUUUUUUAGGUGAUCUCUGAAGGUCUCCAAUUAGGUAAGGUACCAGAGCAAUUAGAUUUAUACAAGUUAUUUAGAUUAUAGGUAAAAUUCCUUUUAGGACUUCCCCCACCUCCAACUUAGGUUCACAACUAGAGAUUUGAACAUCUUUAGGAAAAGGAGGCCAAAGGUCAUAUUUCAUUAUUGAGUCAGUAGUCAAUAAACAUUUAUUAAAUAUAUUCUCCCUGUUAGGCACUAUGCUAAACCCUAGGGAUACAUAGAAAAUUAAAAGAUACCUUCUCUCAAGAAGCUUACAAACUAGUCAUAGAAAUAAAUGCAAAUAGCUAUAUACAAACUAUCUAGACAGAAAAAAAUAAAAUAAUAAACAGGGGGAAGGUAUAGAAAUAAAGGAUCAGGAAAAGCUUCCAGUAAAAAGUGAGAUUUUUUUCUUGCGAUUUGAAGGAAGCCCAGAAAACCAGGAGGCAAACCUACAAUAAGAGAUUAGAGGAUCUUGUAGGAAAAGAGUAAGAAGGAUAGUCACCAAAUCUAAGCCUAAUGGGUGAGAAGACCGAAAAGACUGGGGUGUUUGUUGGCUUAUGAAGGAAGGUUUUGAACUCUCAAUAAAGCAAUUUUCUUUUCAUAUAUUUUGAAAAAUAAACAUCUAUUGUUAUUUUUUUUUUAAGUUUUCUUCCUCUCUUCCCCCUCCCCAAGAUACCAAGCAAUCCAAUAUAGACUAAAUAUGUGCAGGGAGGGAGAGAGAGAGAGAGAGAGAGAGAGAGAGAGAGAGAGAGAGAGAGAGAGAGAGAGAGAGAGAGAGAAAGAAAUAUAUAAUAUCUAAGUUUCAAGUCUAUGAAAUGGAAGGAUGAUAAUAGGACAGUUUGGAAAGAAGAAAGAUUUUGGGGGAAAAGAUGAGUUCAUUUUGGACAUGUUGAGCUUACAAUAUCAAUAAGAUAUCCAGUUCAAAAUAUCUAAUUUGGAGAUUCCAAUCUAAAAGUCUAGAGUUAGAACUGGAUAAGUAGGGACAACUAAGUCAAUCAGUGGAAAAAACACUGGUCCUGGAGUCAGGAAGCCCAGCUUCAGACACUUAAACUUACUAGACAUGUGACUCUGGGCAAGUCACUUAACCCUGAUAACCUCAACAAAAUAAAUAAAUAAAUAAAUAAACAAAUAAACAAAAAGAACUGGAUAAGUUGUGAGAAUUAUCAGAAGAGUGAUUAUAAUUGAAUCCAUAAGAUGAGAUCACUAAGUCAAAUAUUAUAGAGGGAAAAUUGAAGAAGACCCAGGAAAAUCCAGGAAAGCAGACUCAGGAGCAGUCAGAUAAAAUAAGAAUUAGGAGAGAGUAGUGUCCAAAAGCUUAAAAGAGAGUAUCCAGGAAAAGAGAGUGAUGGGCAAUGUCACAAAAAACAGAGACACAGUAAUUGAGGAUUGAUAAAAUGUUAUUAGUUUUGGCAAUUAAGAAAUGGUUAAUCAUUUUGAAGAGAGGUAUUCCAACCUGGCUUUAGGUUGGAAAGCAAAUUGUAGAGAAUUAAAAAGAAAAGAAGAAAGGAAGAGGAGGUAUUUAUUAUAGAAAGCUUUCUUGAGGAGUUUAGCUAAAAAAAAAAAAAAGUUAGGUGAGAUAUGAGAUGAUAGUAGGGAUGAAUAGAUCAAGAGAGAGGGUUUUUUUUUUGAGGAUGUGAGAGACAUGGGCAUAUAUUUGUUAGCAGUAAGGAAGCAGGCUUUAGACAAGGAGAAGCAAGUGUAGAUGAUAGAAAAGAGUCCUAUCUUUUAGUUUAACAUGCUUUGCCACACUGUUCUCCUCAAGUCUUGUCCCAAUACUUCCCUGUCCUUUUUUUUAUACUAUAUUCAAUGUCUAUUAUGCCUUCCUUUCCAGUAUCCCCUCCAGUUCAAUCAAUCAGAAAGCAUUUAUUAAAUGCCUGCGAUAUAUGUGAUAUUGUCCCAGUCCCUCCUCUCAAGAACCUCACAGUCUAACGGAACAGGCAACAUGCAAACAACUAGGUUCUAUUUAUACAAGUUAUAUAUAGGAUAAGUACAUAUGAUAGAUGUAAGUUAUAUAUAUUAUCAGUAACACACCAAACUACCAACAACUUAUUUUAUAGAACUAGACAAAAUAAUAACAAAAUUCAUCUAGAAGAAUAAAAGGUUAAGAAUAUCAAGGGAAUUAAUUUUUUCUUAAAUGUGAAGAAAGUUGGUUUAGCAGUACCAGAUCUCAAACUAUAUUGCAAAACAGCAGUCAUCAAAAUAAUUUGGUAUUGGCUUAGAAAGAGAGCAGUAAAUCAGUGGAAUAGAUUAAAUAUAUAAUAUACAGUGGGGAAAGACCAUAAUAAUCUAGUGUUUGAUAAAUGCAAAAUUCCAAGUUUUAGGGACAAGAACUCACUAUCUGACAAAAAAAAAAACUACUAGGAAAACUAGAAAGAAGUUUAAUAGUAUUUUAUUUUUCCAAAUACACACAAAGACAGUUUUCAACAUUCAUCUUUGCAAAACCUUAUGUUCCAAAGUUUUCUCCCUCCAAUUUGGAACUAUGCCCAAAGAGCUAUCAAACUGUGCAUAUCCUUUGAUCCAGUAGUGUCUCUCCUGGUUCUAUAUCCUAAAGAGAUCUUUAAAAAGGGGGAAAAAACCCACAUGUGCCAAAAUGUUUGUAGCAGCCCUUUUUGUAGAGGCAAGAAACUAGGAACUGAAUGGAUGCCCAUCAGUUGGGCAAUGGUAUAUGAAUGUAAUGGAAUAUUAUUGUUCUAUAGGAAACAAUCAGCAAGGAUAAUUUCAGAAUGGACUGAACAAAACUGCAUGAACUUGCAUGAACUGAUACUAAGUGAAGUGAGUAGAAGAACCAAGAGGACAUUGUACACAGCAACAACAAGAUUAUGUAAUGAUCAGCUCUGAUGGACUUGGCUCUUCUCAAGAAUGAGAUGAUUCAGGCUAAUUCCAAUAGACUAAUGAUGAGAGAGCCAUCUGUACCCAGAGAACGGACUAUAGGGACUGAAUGUGGAUCACAACAUAAUAUUUUUACCUUUUUUGUUGUUAUUGUUUGCUUGCUUUUUUUUCCUUUCUUGUUUUUUUCCCUUUUGAUAUGAUUUUUCUUGUACAGAAUGAUAAAUAUGGAAAUAUGUUUAGAAGAAUUGUACAUGUGUAACCUGUAUUGGAUUGCUUGCUAUCUAAGGGAGAGGGGUGGAGGGGAGGGAGGGAGAAAAAUUUGGAACACAAGGUUUUGCAAGGGUAAAUCUUGACAACUAUCUUUCAUGUAUUUUGAAAAAUAAAUAUCUAUUAUUAUUUUUUAAAAACAGUUUUCUUCCUCUCUUCUCCCUCCCCAAGAUGCCAAACAAUCUAAUAUAGAUUAAAUAUGUGCAGUUCUUCUAAAUAUAUUUCCAAAUUCAUCAUGCUGUUCAAGAAAAAUCAAAUCAAAAGGGGGAAAAAAAAAACAUGAGAAAGAAACAAAAAACGAGGACGAUCAGGAUCUCUCUCUGCAUGCAAUUGACUCUUUCCAUCCUGAGUUUAUUGAAGUUGCCUUGAAAUACAUCAUUGUUGAAAAGAGCCAAAUCCACCACAAUUGAUCAUUACAUAAUCUUGUUAUUAUGUACAAUGUUCUCUUGGUUCUGCUCAUUUCGCUUAACAUCAGUUCAUGUAAGUCUUUCCAGGCUUUUCUGAAAUCAGCCUGCUCAUCAAAACUGGAUAGAUUGGCAGAAAUUAUAUAUAGAACAAUCUUUCACACUAAAUACCAAGAUAAAGUCAAAAUGGGUACAUGAUUUAGACAUAAAGGAUGAUACCAUAAGCAAAUUAUAAGAGCACGGAAUAGUUUACAUAUCAGAUCUAGGGAGGAAAUUUAUUACUAAAGAUACAGAGAACAUUACAAAAUGUAAAAUAAAUGACUUCAAUUAUAUUAAAUAAAAAAGGUUGUCCACAAACAAAGCCAAUCCAACCAUGAUUAGAAAGAAAGUAGUUAAUUGGGGGAAAAAAUUUUUUUACACCAAGUAUCUCUGAUAAAGAACGGAGACAAAUUUAUAAGAAUACAAGUCAUUCCCCAGUUGUAGAAUGAUCAAAGUUUAUAAAUAGGCAUUUUUUCAUAUAAAGAAAUAAAGCUAUCUAUGAUCAUAUGAAACAAAUUAUCUAAAUCACUACUGAUACAAAUUGAAACAACUUUGAGGUACCAUCUCAUAUGUAUCAGAUUGUCUAAUAUGACCCCAAAAAUGACAAAUGUUGGGGAGGAUGUGGGAAAAUUGAGACACUAAUGCUCUAAAACUGAAACAAUGUUGGUGAAGUUGUGAAUUGAUUCAACCAUUGUGGAGAGUAAUUUGGAACAAAAGGUUAUAGAACUGUGCAUAUCCUUUGAACUAGAAAUGCCACUACUAGGUCUGUAUCCCAAAGAGAUUUUUUUUUAUUUUUUAUUAAAGCUUUUUAUCUUCAAAACAUAUGCAUGAAUGAUUUUUAACAUUAACCUUUGCAAAACCUUGUGUUCCAAUUUCCCCUUCUUCCCCCACUCCCUCUCCUAGAUGGCAAGUAGUCCAAUAUAUAUUAAACAUGGUAGAAAUAUGUGUUAAAUCUAAUAUAUACAUACAUAUUUAUACAAUUAUCUUUUUUCUGCUUAAUUUAAUUUAAUUUUUUAUUAUAGCUUUUUAUUGACAGAACAUAUGAGUGGGUAAUUUUUCAACAUUGUCCCUUGCAAUCACUUCUGUUCCAACUUUUCCCUUCCCUCCCUCCACCCCCUCCUCUAGAUGGCAGGCAGUCUCAUACAUGUUAAACAUGUUAAAGUUUAUACAAUUAUCUUGCUGCAUAAGAAAAAUCAAAUCAGACAGGAAAAAAAUGAAAAAGAAAAUAAAAUGCAAGCAAACAACAAAAAGAAUGCAAAUGCUAUGCUGUGAACCACACUCAAUUCCCACAGUCCUCUCUCUGGGUGUAGAUGGCUGUCUUCAUCACAAGAUCACUGGAACUGAUAUUAAUCAAGAGAUUAUUUUUUAAGGAAAAGGACAUAUAUAUGUACAAAAAAUUAUCACAGCUUUUUUGUGAUGGAAAAAAUUGGAAAUUACACAUAAUUUGUAGUAUGUGAUUGUGUUGGAAUACUAUUUUACUAUUAAAAAAAAAUCAUUCCCUCGACUGUGGGGACUGAAUAUAGAUCACAACAUAGUAUUUUCACUUUUGUUGUUGUUGUGCUAUUUGUUUUCUUGCUUGGGUUUCAUUCUUAUUUUUUCCCUUUUGACCUGAUUUUUCUUGUGCAGCAUGAUAUAUGUGGAAAUAUGUGCACAAGAAUUAUCAAAAACUAGGUUACUAUGGGCAUUUAAUGCUGUUUAUUGUGUACCUAAUCUCUUUCAUUAACCUACAACUCUAUUUCUCAGCCAGUACUAGAUUGUUCUGAUGAUUGAUGCUUUGUAAUAUAAUUUGAGAUCUGGCACUGCUAGGCCAGAUUUCCUUCAUUUUUUAAAAAUUAAUCCCUUAAUAGUUUUGAUCUUGUGCUCUUCCAGAUAAAUUUUGUUAUUAUUUUGUCUAGCUCCACAAAAUAGUUUUUGGUGGUUUGAUUGUUAUAGCACUAAAUAAAUUAAUUUAGGUAGAAUUGUCAUUUAUAUUAUAUUACCUGAGCCUACCCAUGAACAAUUUUCCUAGUUGUUUAGAUCUAACCUUAUUUGUGUGGAAAUAUUUUGUAAUUGUGUUCCUAUACUUCCUGGGUUUAUCUUGGCAAGUAGAUUCCCAAGGUUUUUAUAUUGUCUAUAGAUAUUUUAAAUGGCAUUUCUCUGUCUUUCCAUUUUUCCUUUACAACAUCUUUUUGUAUUGGCAAAGAAUUGGAAAUUGAGGAGAUGCCCAUCAAUUGGGAAAUAAUCAAACAAGCAGUGGUAUAUGAAUGUAAUAGAAUACUAUUAUUCUCUUCUUGACUUAGGUAUCAGUACCAUAUUUGUGUCUAAAAAGAAAUUUGGUAGGAUUCUUUCUUUCCCUAUUUUCCCAAAUAGUUUAUGUAGUACUGUCUUUAAUUGUUCUUAAAUGCUUGGUAAAAAUCAUUUGUGAACCCACCUGACUCUGGGACUUCUUUCUUAG
RNAcentral lists this long non-coding RNA (8262 nucleotides) under Sarcophilus harrisii (Tasmanian devil). RNAcentral's name for it is "lncRNA (ENSSHAG00000022337.1)". Lineage: Eukaryota; Metazoa; Chordata; Mammalia; Dasyuromorphia; Dasyuridae. The record is from RNAcentral.